GGAUUAGAUACCCUGGUAGUCCAUGCAGUAAACGAUGAGUGCUAGAUGUUGGGAAUUUAAAUUUCCAGUAUCGCAGUUAACGCGUUAAGCACUCCGCCUGGGAAGUACGGCCGCAAGGCUAAAACUCAAAUGAAUUGACGGGGACCCGCACAAGCGGUGGAUCAUGUGGUUUAAUUCGAAGAUACGCGAAGAACCUUACCGGCCCUUGACAUACCAAUCGCGGACUUAAGAGAUUAAGUCUUUCACUUCGGGUGGAUUGGAUACAGAUGCUGCAUGGUUGUCGUCAGCUCGUGCCG
Molecule: ribosomal RNA, 296 nt
Filed under: uncultured bacterium
Lineage: Bacteria
Description: partial 16S ribosomal RNA
Rfam family: Bacterial small subunit ribosomal RNA
Source: RNAcentral